Molecule: ribosomal RNA, 252 nt
Filed under: uncultured bacterium
Lineage: Bacteria
Description: partial 16S ribosomal RNA
Rfam family: Bacterial small subunit ribosomal RNA
Source: RNAcentral
UACGUAGGUCCCGAGCGUUGUCCGGAUUUAUUGGGCGUAAAGCGAGCGCAGGUGGUUUAUUAAGUCUGGUGUAAAAGGCAGUGGCUCAACCAUUGUAUGCAUUGGAAACUGGUAGACUUGAGUGCAGGAGAGGAGAGUGGAAUUCCGUGUGUAGCGGUGAAAUGCGUAGAUAUAUGGAGGAACACCGGUGGCGAAAGCGGCUCUCUGGUCUGUAACUGACACUGAGGCUCGAAAGCGUGGGGAGCAAACAGG